GAUGAACGCUGGCGGCGUGCUUAACACAUGCAAGUCGAACGAUGAAGCCCAGCUUGCUGGGUGGAUUAGUGGCGAACGGGUGAGUAACACGUGAGUAACCUGCCCUUAACUCUGGGAUAAGCCUGGGAAACUGGGUCUAAUACCGGAUAGGAGCGCCUACCGCAUGGUGGGUGUUGGAAAGAUUUAUCGGUUUUGGAUGGACUCGCGGCCUAUCAGCUUGUUGGUGAGGUAAUGGCUCACCAAGGCGACGACGGGUAGCCGGCCUGAGAGGGUGACCGGCCACACUGGGACUGAGACACGGCUCAGACUCCUACGGGAGGCAGCAGUGGGGAAUAUUGCACAAUGGGCGAAAGCCUGAUGCAGCGACGCCGCGUGAGGGAUGACGGCCUUCGGGUUGUAAACCUCUUUCAGUAGGGAAGAAGCGAAAGUGACGGUACCUGCAGAAGAAGCACCGGCUAACUACGUG
Molecule: ribosomal RNA, 466 nt
Filed under: uncultured bacterium
Lineage: Bacteria
Description: partial 16S ribosomal RNA
Rfam family: Bacterial small subunit ribosomal RNA
Source: RNAcentral